This 447-nucleotide ribosomal RNA is filed under the name uncultured bacterium. RNAcentral describes it as "partial 16S ribosomal RNA". It matches the Rfam family "Bacterial small subunit ribosomal RNA", at positions 29 to 523 of the family's 1533-position model. The record is from RNAcentral.
AACGAACGCUGGCGGCAGGCCUAACACAUGCAAGUCGAACGCUCCGCAAGGGGAGUGGCAGACGGGUGAGUAACGCGUGGGAACCUACCUUGUGGUACGGAACAACCAAGGGAAACUUUGGCUAAUACCGUAUGAGCCCGAGAGGGGAAAGAUUUAUCGCCAUGAGAUGGGCCCGCGUAGGAUUAGCUAGUUGGUGAGGUAAUGGCUCACCAAGGCGACGAUCCUUAGCUGGUCUGAGAGGAUGACCAGCCACACUGGGACUGAGACACGGCCCAGACUCCUACGGGAGGCAGCAGUGGGGAAUAUUGGACAAUGGGCGCAAGCCUGAUCCAGCCAUGCCGCGUGUGUGAUGAAGGCCUUAGGGUUGUAAAGCACUUUCGCCGAUGAAGAUAAUGACGGUAGUCGGAGAAGAAGCCCCGGCUAACUUCGUGCCAGCCGCCGCCGUAA